GGACGAACGCUGGCGGCGUGCCUAAUACAUGCAAGUCGAGCGGGGUUAUUACAGCAGAUUCCUUCGGGAUGAAGCAGUUCUAACCUAGCGGCGGACGGGUGAGUAACGCGUGGGUAACCUGCCCUAAAGCUCGGGAUAACACCGGGAAACCGGUGCUAAUACCGGAUACCUUCCAGAGGGGGCAUCCUUUCUGGAAGAAAGGUUUACGCUUUAGGAUGGGCCCGCGUCCCAUUAGCUAGUUGGUGAGGUAACGGCUCACCAAGGCCACGAUGGGUAGCCGGCCUGAGAGGGUGACCGGCCACACUGGGACUGAGACACGGCCCAGACUCCUACGGGAGGCAGCAGUAGGGAAUAUUGCGCAAUGGGGGAAACCCUGACGCAGCGACGCCGCGUGAGUGAUGAAGGCCUUCGGGUUGUAAAACUCUGUCCUUGGGGAAGAAGUACUGACGGUACCCAAGGAGGAAGCCCCGGCUAACUACGUGCCAGCAGCCGCGGUAAUACGUAGGGGGCGAGCGUUGUCCGGAAUUACUGGGCGUAAAGGGUGCGUAGGCGGCCCUUUAAGUCAGAUGUGAAAGGCCACGGCUUAACCGUGGGAUUGCAUUUGAAACUGGAGGGCUUGAGUGU
Molecule: ribosomal RNA, 624 nt
Filed under: uncultured bacterium
Lineage: Bacteria
Description: bacterial SSU rRNA
Rfam family: Bacterial small subunit ribosomal RNA
Source: RNAcentral